GAACGCACCUUGCGCCUCUUGGUAUUCCGAGAGGCAUGCCUGUUUGAGUGUCUUAUAAAAUCAAUCCCCACGGGUUUCUUGACCUGGCGGUGGACUUGGACUUGGGCGCCUGCCGUUCGCACGGCUCGCCUUAAAGACGUUAGUGGGACAAGUUGCCUACGGCUUGACGUAAUAAGUUUCGUCAGACCCGGUGUCUUAUGCCCGCUCAUAACCCUCCUGGCUCACGCCGGAACCCCUUUAUGCUAGACCUCAAAUCAGGUAGGACUACCCGCUGAACUUAAG
Molecule: unclassified non-coding RNA, 282 nt
Filed under: Genolevuria bromeliarum
Lineage: Eukaryota; Fungi; Basidiomycota; Tremellomycetes; Tremellales; Bulleraceae
Description: sequence contains 5.8S rRNA gene
Rfam family: 5.8S ribosomal RNA (bases 1-53)
Source: RNAcentral